GCUAGGCUUGCUAAUAUUGGCCAUAGGACGGAGCUUAUACUUUCGUAAAGCAAUCAGCAGAUAACUGAUGUAAUGUGGGUUCGAUUCCCACGCCUAGCACCA
RNAcentral lists this transfer RNA (102 nucleotides) under Actinobacillus pleuropneumoniae. Its description in RNAcentral is "tRNA-Ile". It matches the Rfam family "tRNA". Rfam says of the family: Transfer RNA (tRNA) molecules are approximately 80 nucleotides in length. Their secondary structure includes four short double-helical elements and three loops (D, anti-codon, and T loops). Lineage: Bacteria; Pseudomonadati; Pseudomonadota; Gammaproteobacteria; Pasteurellales; Pasteurellaceae. The record is from RNAcentral.